GGUGGUAGUAGCAAAUAUUCAAAUGAGAACUUUGAAGACUGAAGUGGAGAAAGGUUCCAUGUGAACAGCAGUUGGACAUGGGUGAGCCGACCCUAAGAGACAGGAGAACUCCGCCGAACGCGGCCGCUUCCGUCGGCCCGUCCGUCGAAAGGGAAUCGGGUUAACAUUCCCGAGCCAGUGCGUGGAUGGUGGGCGGCGACGCGAACGAUCCCGGAGACGCCUGCGGGAGCCCUGGGAAGAGUUCUCUUUUCUUCUUGACUGUCUUGUCCGCCCUGGAAUCGGUUUAGCCGGCGAGAGGGCCACGCGGCAGGCAAAGCACCUUACGUCUUGAGGUGUCCGGCGCGCUCCCGACGGCCCGUGAAAAUCCGGGGGAGCGUUUCGUUUUCACGCCUGGUCGUACUCAUAACCGCAUCAGGUCUCCAAGGUGAGCAGCCUCUAGUCGAUAGAGCAAUGUAGGUAAAGGAAGUCGGCAAAAUGGUUCCGCAACCUCGGGAGAAGGAAUGGCUCUGAAGGCUGGGCGCAGGGGUCGUCGGUCCGAGGCUCGCUGGCUGCGCGCGGACUACCGGCCUCACGGCUGGCGGACCGCGCGCGGCCGUCGUGCGGACGGCCGAGGAGCGGGUGUUUGAACGGCGCGUUUCUGCGCGGCCGCGUUCGCCUUCCCUGCGCGCUGAACAGCCGCUUCAGAACUGGCGCGGACAAGGGGAAUCCGACUGUUUAAUUAAAACAGAGCAUUGUGAUGGCCCCGGGGGUGUUGACACAAUGUGAUUUCUGCCCAGUGCUCUGAAUGUCAAAGUGAUGAAAUUCAAACAAGCGCGGGUAAACGGCGGGAGUAACUAUGAC
Molecule: ribosomal RNA, 840 nt
Filed under: Aurantiochytrium limacinum
Lineage: Eukaryota; Bigyra; Thraustochytrida; Thraustochytriidae
Description: partial Eukaryotic large subunit ribosomal RNA
Rfam family: Eukaryotic large subunit ribosomal RNA
Source: RNAcentral